UUUUUUGUCACUGCAUUUCGCACUAUGUACGUAUUUAAAUUUAAAUAUAGACUAUUUACCUGUUUUGAAAGUCUAAAUAAAACAGAAAUAGCAUAUCCGGAUGUUAAUAAUGUCAACGUCAACAAGAAAAUUGAGAUAGAAAGGUUUUUGUCAUUGAGUAAUGAAUAUAUCCGAGAAAGAACCUAUGUCUAUGGAAGAUAAUGAGAAAUACACUAUCACAAAAACUGAAGAAUAUAGGUCACUUACAGUUGAACACUGUAACAAAGCAGGAAAUUCGGGGACCAGUAUAACAGAUCACAAAGAAUCAAUAAUGGCUGGGCAAGGAAGCGAAACCGUCUUAUCUAAAACAAUUAAAAAAAACUUUGUUAGAAUAUGUGAACUUCUCGAAGCUUUUCCUCUAAGUGACUAUCUUCUGCAACAUGAAGUCAUUACAAUGGGGGAACACUCUGAACUUCGACAGAAAUGGAAGUAUAGUCACUCAGAAGCAAAUGACGAUCUGUUGAAAAAACUCUGUAAGCGAGAAUUUGAUCCAAAAAUUCUAGAGACAGCUUUAAAAGAGACCAAACAAACCGGUGUUCUAAAAAUGCUGUUCGUUAUGUAUUAAAGAAUAUUUAGCACGG
This is a long non-coding RNA of Mytilus californianus (California mussel), 620 nucleotides long. RefSeq lists it as uncharacterized. The transcript is spliced from 2 exons. The record is from RefSeq and is a predicted model, not a curated record. NCBI's taxonomy places the organism in Eukaryota, Metazoa, Mollusca, Bivalvia, Mytilida, Mytilidae.